Molecule: transfer RNA, 70 nt
Filed under: Oxymonacanthus longirostris (harlequin filefish)
Lineage: Eukaryota; Metazoa; Chordata; Actinopteri; Tetraodontiformes; Monacanthidae
Description: tRNA-Pro
Rfam family: tRNA
About the family: Transfer RNA (tRNA) molecules are approximately 80 nucleotides in length. Their secondary structure includes four short double-helical elements and three loops (D, anti-codon, and T loops).
Source: RNAcentral
CAAAGAAUAGUUUAGUAAAGGAUUCUAGCUUUGGGAGCUAGUGGCGGGGGUUUGAGUCCCCCUUCUUUGA